UCCCUGGUGGCUCAGAUGGUAAAGAAUCUGCCUGAAAUGCAGGAGAUCUGGGUUCGAUUCCUGGUUGGGAAG
Molecule: non-coding RNA, 72 nt
Organism: Bos taurus (domestic cattle)
Lineage: Eukaryota; Metazoa; Chordata; Mammalia; Artiodactyla; Bovidae
Source: Rfam